RNAcentral lists this ribosomal RNA (142 nucleotides) under uncultured eukaryote. RNAcentral's name for it is "partial 18S ribosomal RNA". It matches the Rfam family "Eukaryotic small subunit ribosomal RNA", at positions 1299 to 1458 of the family's 1831-position model. The record is from RNAcentral.
UGGUGGAGUGAUUUGUCUGGUUAAUUCCGUUAACGAACGAGACCUCGACCUGCUAAAUAGUUCGACGAAUUCUUCGGGAUUCGGGCGCGACUUCUUAGAGGGACUAUCGGUGCGUAGCCGGUGGAAGUUCGAGGCAAUAACA